This 270-nucleotide ribosomal RNA is filed under the name uncultured bacterium. RNAcentral's name for it is "partial 16S ribosomal RNA". It matches the Rfam family "Bacterial small subunit ribosomal RNA", at positions 524 to 794 of the family's 1533-position model. The record is from RNAcentral.
UACGGAGGGUGCAAGCGUUAUCCGGAUUCACUGGGUUUAAAGGGUGCGUAGGUGGGCAGGUAAGUCAGUGGUGAAAUCUCCGGGCUUAACCCGGAACUGCCAUUGAUACUAUCUGUCUUGAAUAUCGUGGAGGUGAGCGGAAUAUGUCAUGUAGCGGUGAAAUGCUUAGAUAUGACAUAGAACACCAAUUGCGAAGGCAGCUCACUACGCGAAUAUUGACACUGAGGCACGAAAGCGUGGGGAUCAAACAGGAUUAGAUACCCUCGUAGU